GUGCCAGCAGCCGCGGUAAUACGUAUGUCGCAAGCGUUAUCCGGAUUUAUUGGGCGUAAAGCGCGUCUAGGCGGCUUAGUAAGUCUGAUGUGAAAAUGCGGGGCUCAACCCCGUAUUGCGUUGGAAACUGCUAAACUAGAGUACUGGAGAGGUAGGCGGAACUACAAGUGUAGAGGUGAAAUUCGUAGAUAUUUGUAGGAAUGCCGAUGGGGAAGCCAGCCUACUGGACAGAUACUGACGCUAAAGCGCGAAAGCGUGGGUAGCAAACAGGAUUAGAAACCCGCGUAGUCC
This 291-nucleotide ribosomal RNA is filed under the name uncultured prokaryote. RNAcentral describes it as "partial 16S ribosomal RNA". It matches the Rfam family "Bacterial small subunit ribosomal RNA", at positions 505 to 796 of the family's 1533-position model. The record is from RNAcentral.